Molecule: ribosomal RNA, 472 nt
Filed under: uncultured bacterium
Lineage: Bacteria
Description: bacterial SSU rRNA
Rfam family: Bacterial small subunit ribosomal RNA
Source: RNAcentral
UAGUCCACGUCCUAAACGAUGCUAACUCGAUAUCUGUAUUUAUAUGGGUGUCUAAGGGAAACCAAUAAGUUAGCCACCUGGGGAGUACGUUCGCAAGAAUGAAACUCAAAGGAAUUGACGGGGUCCGCACAAGCGGUGGAGCAUGUGGUUUAAUUCGAUGAUACGCGAGGAACCUUACCUAGGCUCGAAUGCGAGUGCUAUCUGCUGAAAGGCGGAGUUUCUUCGGAACACAAAGCAAAGGUGCUGCAUGGUUGUCGUCAGCUCGUGCCGUGAGGUGUUGGGUUAAGUCCCGCAACGAGCGCAACCCUUAUUACUAGUUGCCAGCAUUUCGGAUGGGGACUCUAGUAAAACUGCCGGCGCAAGCCGUGAGGAAGGUGGGGAUGACGUCAAAUCAUCAUGGGCCUUUAUGCCUAGGGGCUGCACACGUGCUACAAUGGGAUGAGACAGAGGGUUGCUAACCCGCAAGGGGUGU